Molecule: ribosomal RNA, 323 nt
Filed under: uncultured Nudifilidae
Lineage: Eukaryota; Cercozoa; Imbricatea
Description: SSU rRNA
Rfam family: Eukaryotic small subunit ribosomal RNA (bases 105-323)
Source: RNAcentral
GAUUUCUGGUCUGACAUGCCUGGCCCGCCGGGGUUACCCGCGUGAGUGCCGGUGCGCGUCUACCAUCCUUCCGGAAAACGGCCUUACCCUUCACUGGGCCGAGGUCGCGAUCCGGAUCUUUUACUUUGAAAAAAUUAGAGUGUUUCAAGCAGGCUUUAUGCUAUGAAUACAUUAGCAUGGAAUAAUAAUUUAGGACUUCGGUUCUAUUUUGUUGGUUUCUAGGACUGAAGUAAUGAUUGAUAGGGAUAGUUGGGGGUGCUAGUAUUCAGCGGCCAGAGGUGAAAUUCUCGGAUUCGCUGAAGACUAACUUAUGCGAAAGCAUU